RNAcentral lists this ribosomal RNA (1466 nucleotides) under human metagenome. RNAcentral describes it as "bacterial LSU rRNA". It matches the Rfam family "Bacterial large subunit ribosomal RNA", at positions 491 to 1977 of the family's 2925-position model. The record is from RNAcentral.
UGAACCAGUACCGUGAGGGAAAGGUGAAAAGAACCCCGGGAGGGGAGUGAAAGAGAACCUGAAACCCUGUGUCUACAAGCUGCGGAAGAGCGACUAACGCUCGACCGUGUACUUUUUGUAGAACGGUCCGGCGAGUUGCCGUUGCUGGCAGGUUAAGUACUUAAGGUACGGAGCCGAAGGGAAACCAAGUCUUAACAGGGCGAUAAGUCAGUAACGGCAGACCCGAAACCGGGUGACCUACCCAUGGCCAGGAUGAAGUCUGCGUAAAAGUGGAUGGAGGUCCGAACACACGUCUGUUGAAAAAGGCGGUGAUGAGCUGUGGGUAGCGGAGAAAUUCCAAUCGAACUCGGAGAUAGCUGGUUCUCCCCGAAAUAGCUUUAGGGCUAGCCUCGGUAUAGUCUAAUGGAGGUAGAGCACUGAAUCGCUGCGGGGGCGUCAAAGUCUACCAAAGCGUAUCAAACUCCGAAUGCCAUAUAGAUGUUUACCGGGAGUCAGACUGUAUGAGAUAAGUCGGACAGUCAAAAGGGAAACAGCCCAGACCAUCUGCUAAGGUCCCAAAGUGUAUGUUAAGUGGUAAAGGAUGUGGGGUUUCGAAGACAACUAGGAUGUUGGCUCAGAAGCAGCCAUUCAUUCAAAGAGUGCGUAAUAGCUCACUAGUCGAGAGGUCCUGCGCCGAAAAUGUCCGGGGCUGAAACAUAACACCGAAGCAAUGGAACAUACCGUAAGGUAUGUUGGUAGGGGAGCAUUGAUAACACGAAGAAGCGGUACCGUAAGGAGCCGUGGAGAGUUAUCAAGAGAGAAUGCCGGAAUGAGUAGCGAGAUGAAGGUGAGAAUCCUUCAGGCCGUAUAUCCAAGGUUUCCAGGGUAAAGCUGAUCUUCCCUGGGGAAGUCGGGACCUAAGCUCAGGCUGAGAAGCGUAGGCGAUGGACAACUGGUUGAUAUUCCAGUACCUCUGGCUAUCAGAAAUGUGGGGACACGGAGAUUCAGGAAGUGCCUGUAAAGGAUUCAGGUGCAAGCAUGGUUUAUGCCGGGCAGGCAAAUCCGCCCGGGUAACUGAACUGUGUGAUGCGGACCGAAAUAUAAGUAGGGAAGCUUCUGGGAGAGCCGUCGAGAAAAGCCGCUAUUGUGUAGUCAGAGCCCGUACCGUAAACCGACACAGGUGGAUGGGGAGAGUAUCCCAAGGCCGGCGGGAGAAGCAUUGUUAAGGAACUCGGCAAAAUGGCCCCGUAAGUUCGCGAUAAGGGGUGCCUGUAGAGAUACAGGCCGCAGAGAAUAGGCUCAAGCAACUGUUUAGCAAAAACACAGGUCUAUGCGAAACCGUAAGGUGAUGUAUAUGGGCUGACGCCUGCCCGGUGCUGGAAGGUUACGGGGAGUGCUUAGGAGCAAUCCGAAGGUACGAACUUAAGCCCCAGUAAACGGCGGCCGUAACUAUAACGGUCCUAAGGUAGCGAAAUUCCUUGUCGGGU